This 73-nucleotide transfer RNA is filed under the name Canis lupus familiaris (dog). It matches the Rfam family "tRNA". Rfam says of the family: Transfer RNA (tRNA) molecules are approximately 80 nucleotides in length. Their secondary structure includes four short double-helical elements and three loops (D, anti-codon, and T loops). Lineage: Eukaryota; Metazoa; Chordata; Mammalia; Carnivora; Canidae. RNAcentral also lists the same sequence under 1 other name. The record is from Rfam by way of RNAcentral.
GCCUAGCUGGCUCAGUCAGUGGAGCAUGUGACUGCUGAUCUUGGGGUUGUGAGUUCGAGCCCCACUUUGGGUG